UACAGAGGGGGCAAGCGUUAUUCGGAAUUACUGGGCGUAAAGGGCGCGUAGGCGGCCUUCUAAGUCAUGCGUGAAAUCCCCGGGCUCAACCCGGGAACUGCGUCUGAUACUGGAAGGCUUGAAUCCGGGAGAGGGAUGUGGAAUUCCAGGUGUAGCGGUGAAAUGCGUAGAUAUCUGGAGGAACACCGGUGGCGAAGGCGGCAUCCUGGACCGGUAUUGACGCUGAGGCGCGAAAGCCAGGGGAGCAAACGGG
This 253-nucleotide ribosomal RNA is filed under the name uncultured bacterium. RNAcentral describes it as "partial 16S ribosomal RNA". It matches the Rfam family "Bacterial small subunit ribosomal RNA", at positions 524 to 776 of the family's 1533-position model. The record is from RNAcentral.